Molecule: ribosomal RNA, 500 nt
Filed under: Listeria monocytogenes
Lineage: Bacteria; Bacillati; Bacillota; Bacilli; Caryophanales; Listeriaceae
Description: partial 23S ribosomal RNA
Rfam family: Bacterial large subunit ribosomal RNA
Source: RNAcentral
CUGAGUACGGCGGAACACGUGAAAUUCCGUCGGAAUCCGGGAGGACCAUCUCCCAAGGCUAAAUACUCCCUAGUGACCGAUAGUGAACCAGUACCGUGAGGGAAAGGUGAAAAGCACCCCGGAAGGGGAGUGAAACAGUUCCUGAAACCGUGUGCCUACAAGUAGUUAGAGCCCGUUAAUGGGUGAUAGCGUGCCUUUUGUAGAAUGAACCGGCGAGUUACGAUUUGUUGCAAGGUUAAGCGGAAAAAGCGGAGCCGUAGCGAAAGCGAGUCUGAAUAGGGCGCAUAAGUAACAGGUCGUAGACCCGAAACCAGGUGAUCUACCCAUGUCCAGGAUGAAGGUAAGGUAAUACUUACUGGAGGUCCGAACCCACGCACGUUGAAAAGUGCGGGGAUGAGGUGUGGGUAGCGGAGAAAUUCCAAUCGAACUUGGAGAUAGCUGGUUCUCUCCGAAAUAGCUUUAGGGCUAGCCUCGAGGUAAAGAGUCAUGGAGGUAGAGCA